GACGAACGCUGGCGGCGUGCUUAACACAUGCAAGUCGAACGGUGAUGCUCCAGCUUGCUGGAGUGGAUCAGUGGCGAACGGGUGAGUAACACGUGAGCAACCUGCCCCAGACUCUGGAAUAAGCGCUGGAAACGGCGUCUAAUACUGGAUACGAAACUGGCCCGCAUGGGCAUGGUUUGGAAAGUUUUUCGGUUUGGGAUGGGCUCGCGGCCUAUCAGCUUGUUGGUGAGGUAAUGGCUCACCAAGGCGACGACGGGUAGCCGGCCUGAGAGGGCGACCAGCCACACUGGGACUGAGACACGGCCCAGACUCCUACGGGAGGCAGCAGUGGAGAAUAUUGCACAAUGGGCGAAAGCCUGAUGCAGCGACGCCGCGUGAGGGAUGACGGCCUUCGGGUUGUAAACCUCUUUCAGCAGGGAAGAAGCGAAAGUGACGGUACCUGCAGAAGAAGCACCGGCUGACUACGUG
RNAcentral lists this ribosomal RNA (468 nucleotides) under uncultured bacterium. RNAcentral describes it as "partial 16S ribosomal RNA". It matches the Rfam family "Bacterial small subunit ribosomal RNA", at positions 28 to 507 of the family's 1533-position model. The record is from RNAcentral.